GAUCUAUCCAUGGCCAGGAUGAAGGUGCGGUAACACGUACUGGAGGUCCGAACCCACUAACGUUGAAAAGUUAGGGGAUGAGCUGUGGAUAGGGGUGAAAGGCUAAACAAACCUGGAAAUAGCUGGUUCUCUCCGAAAACUAUUUAGGUAGUGCCUCGUGUCUCACCUUCGGGGGUAGAGCACUGUCAUGGUUGGGGGGUCUAUUGCAGAUUACCCCGCCAUAGCAAACUCCGAAUACCGAAGAGUGCAAUCACGGGAGACAGACAUCGGGUGCUAACGUCCGGUGUCAAGAGGGAAACAACCCAGACCGCCAGCUAAGGUCCCCAAAUAUAGCUAAGUGGGAAACGAAGUGGGAAGGCUAAAACAGUCAGGAGGUUGGCUUAGAAGCAGCCACCCUUUAAAGAAAGCGUAAUAGCUCACUGAUCGAGUCGUCCUGCGCGGAAGAUGUAACGGGGCUAAGCUAUAUACCGAAGCUGCGGAUGCGAGCUUGCUCGCAUGGUAGGAGAGCGUUCCGUAAGCCUGCGAAGGUGCCUUGUAAAGGGUGCUGGAGGUAUCGGAAGUGCGAAUGCUGACAUGAGUAGCGAUAAAGGGGGUGAAAGGCCCCCCUCGCCGUAAGCCCAAGGUUUCCUACGCAACGUUCAUCGGCGUAGGGUGAGUCGGCCCUAAGGCGAGGCAGAAUGCGUAGCUGAUGGGAAGCAGGUCAAUAUUCCUGCACCAUUGUUAGAUGCGAUGGGGGACGGAUCGCGGAAGGUUGUCCGGGUGUUGGAAGUCCCGGUCGCUGCAUUGGAGAAGGCACUUAGGCAAAUCCGGGUGCGUAAUUCAAGGGUGUGGCGCGAGCUCCUUCGGGAGCGAAGCAAUUGGAAGUGGUUCCAAGAAAAGCCUCUAAGCUUCAGUCUAACGAUGACCGUACCGCAAACCGACACAGGUGGGCGAGAUGAGUAUUCUAAGGCGCUUGAGAGAACUCGGGAGAAGGAACUCGGCAAAUUGGUACCGUAACUUCGGGAUAAGGUACGCCCUUGUAGCUUGACUGGCCUGCGCCAGGAGGGUGAAGGGGUUGCAAUAAACUGGUGGCUGCGACUGUUUAAUAAAACACAGCACUCUGCAAACACGAAAGUGGACGUAUAGGGUGUGACGCCUGCCCGGUGCCGGAAGAUUAAAUGAUGGGGUGCAAGCUCUUGAUUGAAGUCCCGGUAAACGGCGGCCGUAACUAUAACGGUCCUAAGGUAGCGAAAUUCCUUGUCGGGUAAGUUCCGACCUGCACGAAUGGCGUAACGAUGGCCACACUGUCUCCUCCCGAGACUCAGCGAAGUUGAAGUGUUUGUGAUGAUGCAAUCUACCCGCGGCUAGACGGAAAGACCCCAUGAACCUUUACUGUAGCUUUGCAUUGGACUUUGAACCGAUCUGUGUAGGAUAGGUGGGAGGCUAUGAAACCGGAACGCUAGUUUCGGUGGAGCCGUCCUUGAAAUACCACCCUGGUUUGUUUGAGGUUCUAACCUUGGCCCGUGAUCCGGGUCGGGGACAGUGCAUGGUAGGCAGUUUGACUGGGGCGGUCUCCUCCCAAAGCGUAACGGAGGAGUACGAAGGUACGCUAGGUACGGUCGGAAAUCGUGCUGAUAGUGCAAUGGCAUAAGCGUGCUUAACUGCGAGACCGACAAGUCGAGCAGGUGCGAAAGCAGGUCAUAGUGAUCCGGUGGUUCUGUAUGGAAGGGCCAUCGCUCAACGGAUAAAAGGUACUCUGGGGAUAACAGGCUGAUACCGCCCAAGAGUUCAUAUCGACGGCGGUGUUUGGCACCUCGAUGUCGGCUCAUCUCAUCCUGGGGCUGUAGCCGGUCCCAAGGGUAUGGCUGUUCGCCAUUUAAAGAGGUACGUGAGCUGGGUUUAAAACGUCGUGAGACAGUUUGGUCCCUAUCUGCCGUGGGCGUUGGAUAUUUGAAGGGGGCUGCUCCUAGUACGAGAGGACCGGAGUGGACGAACCUCUGGUGUACCGGUUGUCACGCCAGUGGCAUCGCCGGGUAGCUAUGUUCGGAAGAGAUAACCGCUGAAAGCAUCUAAGCGGGAAACUCGCCUUAAGAUGAGAUAUCCCUGGGGACUAGAUCCCCUUGAAGGGUCGUUCGAGACCAGGACGUUGAUAGGUCAGGUGUGUAAGCGCAGUAAUGCGUUCAGCUAACUGAUACUAAUUGCCCGUAAGGCUUGAUC
RNAcentral lists this ribosomal RNA (2196 nucleotides) under Burkholderia cepacia ATCC 25416. RNAcentral's name for it is "bacterial LSU rRNA". It matches the Rfam family "Bacterial large subunit ribosomal RNA", at positions 727 to 2925 of the family's 2925-position model. Lineage: Bacteria; Pseudomonadati; Pseudomonadota; Betaproteobacteria; Burkholderiales; Burkholderiaceae. The record is from RNAcentral.